AGAGUUUGAUCCUGGCUCAGGACGAACGUUGGCGGUGCGCUUAAUGCAUGCAAGUCGAGGGAGAAGCAUUUGUUCCGUAAGGUUCAGAUGUGGAAACCGGCGAACGGGUGCGUAACACGUGAGAAACCUGCCCCCUUGACCGGGAUAGCCCGAGGAAACUCGGAUUAAUACCGGAUACUCUCUUUGGAUCGCAUGGUCCGCUGAGGAAACAGUCCGCUGCUAGGGGAUGGUCUCGCGGCCUAUCAGGUAGUUGGUGAGGUAACGGCUCACCAAGCCUAAGACGGGUAGCUGGUCUGAGAGGACGAUCAGCCACACUGGAACUGAGACACGGUCCAGACUCCUACGGGAGGCAGCAGCAGGGAAUAUUGCACAAUGGGCGAAAGCCUGAUGCAGCGACACCGCGUGCGGGAUGACGGCCUUAGGGUUGUAAACCGCUUUCAGGAGGGAAGAAAAUGACGGUACCUCCAGAAGAAGCUCCGGCCAACUACGUGCCAGCAGCCGCGGUAAUACGUAGGGAGCAAACGUUGUCCGGAUUUAUUGGGCGUAAAGGGCUCGUAGGCGGUUCAACAAGUCGAUCGUGAAAGCCCGGGGCUCAACCCCGGGAGGCCGGUCGAAACUGUUGUGACUAGAGUUCGGUAGAGGUGAGUGGAAUUCUCGGUGUAGCGGUGGAAUGCGCAGAUAUCGAGAGGAACACCAUUA
This 699-nucleotide ribosomal RNA is filed under the name uncultured bacterium. Its description in RNAcentral is "bacterial SSU rRNA". It matches the Rfam family "Bacterial small subunit ribosomal RNA", at positions 8 to 714 of the family's 1533-position model. The record is from RNAcentral.